AAUUUAUAAUCUGGCACCUUCGGUGUCCGAGUUGUAAUCUCUAGAAGUGUUUUCCGCGUUGGACCGCACACAAGUCUGUUGGAAUACAGCGGCAUAGUGGUGAAACCCCCGUAUAUGGUGCGGACGCCCAGCGCUUUGUGAUACACUUUCAAUGAGUCGAGUUGUUUGGGAAUGCAGCUCAAAUUGGGUGGUAAAUUCCAUCUAAAGCUAAAUAUUGGCGAGAGACCGAUAGCGAACAAGUACCGUGAGGGAAAGAUGAAAAGCACUUUGGAAAGAGAGUUAACAGUACGUGAAAUUGUUGGAAGGGAAACGCUUGAAGUCAGACUUGCUUGCCGGAGCUUGCUUCGGGUUUGCAGGCCAGCA
This 363-nucleotide ribosomal RNA is filed under the name Rhodotorula sp. Its description in RNAcentral is "eukaryotic LSU rRNA". It matches the Rfam family "Eukaryotic large subunit ribosomal RNA", at positions 112 to 472 of the family's 3401-position model. Lineage: Eukaryota; Fungi; Basidiomycota; Microbotryomycetes; Sporidiobolales; Sporidiobolaceae. The record is from RNAcentral.